CAGCCGCCGCCCGCCUGCCUGAUCUUCCUUGGCCCUUGCUUGCUCUUGCAAAUCGAUCCCUCUGUUUUUCCUAAGUUUUCUUUUUCGCUUCUUGAUGAUGAUGGGUGCGAUGAAGAGCUAGUUAUCUUGAUCCGUCGCCUCUAAUGGUGGUGGUAUGAUGUUCAUCUUUACUACUGAUCCCAGCAGAGGGGCGUGAUUCUCCGUCGUUGAGGCCUCUCUAACAACAAUUAAUCUUCGCAGAGGAACGAGACGCCGUGGAUUUGUGGAUGUGUGAUUUAUUCUGGUUCUGUCACAUCUGUUGCCAUGGCUACAUCAUUGUUUAAGAUUUUUGUUUGGAUUUUCAAACCUUUUUUGCUUGGUGCUUCUCUGUGAGAGGAACCGGAACCGAGGGACCUAUGGAUGGACAGCUUUUCACCGUGCUGUGUCUACCAAGUUUGCCUUCGGAUAGCAUCAUGCAAACUGUUCUCAAAUCGUCCUGCGUGAACUCCCGUUUUAUGCGAGAUUGAAACAUUUUGCAGACAUUCGUUUAUGAUUAUUCAACAGGCGAUGCCUUAGCUGAAACUAUCCAGUUGUUUGUUUGUUUUUCAGACUUUGUUGCACUACCAGAAUCCUGCAUUUAGCUGUGACUUUGUGUUGAAGACUCCGAAUGAACAGAUACGGCCUAAUUUACGUA
This is a long non-coding RNA of Brachypodium distachyon (stiff brome), 673 nucleotides long. RefSeq lists it as uncharacterized. The transcript has 2 exons. Lineage: Eukaryota; Viridiplantae; Streptophyta; Magnoliopsida; Poales; Poaceae. The record is from RefSeq and is a predicted model, not a curated record.